AGUGAACGCUGGCGGUAGGCCUAACACAUGCAAGUCGAACGGCAGCACAGUAAGAGCUUGCUCUUACGGGUGGCGAGUGGCGGACGGGUGAGGAAUACAUCGGAAUCUACUUUUUCGUGGGGGAUAACGUAGGGAAACUUACGCUAAUACCGCAUACGACCUACGGGUGAAAGCAGGGGAUCUUCGGACCUUGCGCGAUUGAAUGAGCCGAUGUCGGAUUAGCUAGUUGGCGGGGUAAAGGCCCACCAAGGCGACGAUCCGUAGCUGGUCUGAGAGGAUGAUCAGCCACACUGGAACUGAGAAACGGUCCAGACUCCGACGGGAGGCAGCAGUGGGGAAUAUUGGACGAUGGGCGCAAGCCUGAUCCAGCCAUACCGCGUGGGUGAAGAAGGACUUCGGGUUGUAAAGCCCUGUUGUUGGGAAAGAAAAGCAGCAGGUUAAUACCCCGCUGUUAUGACGGUACCCAAAGAAUAAGCACCGGCUAACUUCGUG
Molecule: ribosomal RNA, 492 nt
Filed under: uncultured bacterium
Lineage: Bacteria
Description: partial 16S ribosomal RNA
Rfam family: Bacterial small subunit ribosomal RNA
Source: RNAcentral